UUCCAGCUCCAAUAGCGUAUACUAAAGCUGCUGCGGUUAAAAAGCUCGUAGUUGGAUCUCAGUUCCAGACGAGUAGUGCAUCUACCCGAUGCGACGGCUCGGACUGAACAUCAUGCCGGUUUUCUUGGUGCACUUCAUUGUGUGCCUCGAGAUGGCCGGUGCUUUUACUUUGAAAAAAUUAGAGUGCUCAACGCAGGCGAGUCGCCUGAAUAAACUUGCAUGGAAUAAUAGAACAAGACCUCGUUUCUGUUCUGUUGGUUUUUGG
Molecule: ribosomal RNA, 265 nt
Filed under: Rhipicephalus appendiculatus
Lineage: Eukaryota; Metazoa; Arthropoda; Arachnida; Ixodida; Ixodidae
Description: partial 18S ribosomal RNA
Rfam family: Eukaryotic small subunit ribosomal RNA
Source: RNAcentral